UGCUUCUGCCUCCCCAAAUCCCUUCCCAGACCCUCCCCUCCCCCUGCCCUCCCCUCGGGAGUGUUGGGGAAAGUGGAUUGUCUUUGUCCCCAAAAGAUUUCUUCUUGUCUUUGGUGGCUAACCCGUGACUAACCUAGGCUUAGAUUAAAGAGAACUGUUUGAGAGACUUAAUGUUUAUCUGUUGGGGCUAAAGUAGACAUUUAUCAGAGCCAGGCUUGUGGAAGUGUCUUGGAAAUGUUUGAAGAAUAGGUUCCAAGAACCAACCCUGUGCUGUUUUUACUUUUGUUCCGGCUGUACCUCUUGCUUGGUGUGCCUUUGCCCUCCAUCCUGCAUGGCUUUCUCCCUUAGUAGGCCUUCCUGCCAGCUUGCCCUGAUCUCUCUUCUGCCUUUCAUGAAGCCAAGUACUUUAUGUGUUUGAGUCUAUCCAGUCGGAUCUAAGUUGAGCCUUCUUUUUCUCUCUGUGCCCACAUGGCACCUGUCAGCAUGCUGAGCAAUGUCCCCUUGACCAGCUCUUGAUGAGGUAUGUGGAUUACAAGUAGGAGUACAGCUGAGCCUUGCCCAAAAGUGCUUGGGCUGACAGGGAAGACAGCUGGGUGGUGAACAUGGGAGAGGACAAUGUGGAGGGCUACAGCUGCUAGCAAAAACCUUGACUCCAGAGGCCACACGAAAAGCCCAGUAAAUAAAGGAGUUAUUUCAAAUCACUCGAGAGCCUGGAGGAACAGUCAGAGUAUCAGAGAUGACAAGGACAUUAUAAAUCGCCAAGUCCAACCCUUAUUUAAAAAUAAUUGUCACGCUGGUAGAAAAACAGCGCCAAGCCUCGUGACGAGGGAGUCACGUCUAAUAUUUUGAAUUUGUAUAUAUUAGCUAAUUUUGUAUGUGUGUCCGCAUGUGUGUGCUGUGGCAUGUGCGUGCAGGUCAGAGGACAAGGUGCAGAAGUUUGUUCUCCACGAAAUGGGACGUGGAGAUUGAUCUCAGGUCGUCAACCUUUGCCUGCUGAACCCUCUCACUAGCCCAGAAAUAUGUAAUAUUAUCCAAAGAUAGCCACUCUAGAGUCCUAUUAUCUUUAGAUGUUUUUCUUUCCUACUCAUAUAGACCAGUUAUUUGGGGGCGGGGUGGGGAAGAAAAUAAUAAAGGAAGUUAUUCUGUUAUACUAAUUUGUAACUUGCAAGCACACUGUUUUGUAACUUGCUUUUUUUUUCUCCUCCUCACAAUAUGCUGUGAACAUGUUUCCUCAUCAAUAAAUAUUGUGCCUACUAUCUU
This 1260-nucleotide long non-coding RNA is filed under the name Rattus norvegicus (Norway rat). Its description in RNAcentral is "long non-coding RNA NONRATT013849". Lineage: Eukaryota; Metazoa; Chordata; Mammalia; Rodentia; Muridae. The record is from RNAcentral.